RNAcentral lists this ribosomal RNA (1033 nucleotides) under Acanthotaenia cf. shipleyi. RNAcentral's name for it is "eukaryotic LSU rRNA". It matches the Rfam family "Eukaryotic large subunit ribosomal RNA", at positions 61 to 638 of the family's 3401-position model. Lineage: Eukaryota; Metazoa; Platyhelminthes; Cestoda; Proteocephalidea; Proteocephalidae. The record is from RNAcentral.
AGAACUAAUCACGAUUCCCCUAGUAACGGCGAGUGAAGAGGGAAAAGCCCAGCACCGAAGCCUGCGGCAGAUUUGCUGCUAGGCAAUGUGGUGUUUGGGUCGGCUCGUGGGACUGCCACUCCACUCGAAGUCCAGCAUUGAGUAUGGUCACUGGAUUUGGCCCAGAGAGGGUGAAAGGCCCGUACGGGUGGAGGUUCAGACAUGUGAGGCGGUUCACCAGGUCGACCUUAGAGUCGGGUUGUUUGGGAAUGCAGCCCAAAGCGGGUGGUAAACUCCAUCCAAGGCUAAAUACAAGCACGAGUCCGAUAGCGAACAAGUACCGUGAGGGAAAGUUGAAAAGUACUCUGAAGAGAGAGUAAACAGUACGUGAAACCGCAUGCAGGUAAACGGGUGGCGUCAAGCUGCAAGCCCAGAGGAUUCAGCCGGCUAGGUUGUUGUGUAUGCGCCUGGCGCAUCUAUCAGUCGGAGUAUGAUGGGAUAGUCCACCGGUAGACGGUGGGCCCGGCCGCAAGGUUGGGAUAUGUGUACCGGGUGGGUGCCGGAGCAUGCUAUCCGUCUGAGGACUGUCUAGCCGGUGCACUUUCUCUGUGGUGAACACCACGACCGGUGGUAUUGCCAGUCUGCUGUGUCCAAGUCGUAUCUGGUAGGUCCUUGUGGCCAACUGGGUGCGAUCACAGGCAAACUCAGUAAACGGCGUAGAGGUGCUUCGGUAUCUUUGCGUGCUAUCGGCUACUGGUUGUCAACGGGCCUGCUCGAUGCAUGUUUGGCUUAUUGUAACCGGCAUCGGGUGGUCUGGUGGGGCAUGGUGGUAAGAAUAACUGUGCAAGGCACCGGAGUUAUCGGCCUCAAAUGUGUCCUGUGCCCAUGUUACAAGUGGCACCUGUGGCAGUGUCGUUAUUGUCUGCCCGGUGUUGGGUCUGAUUGUCGUGUCGCCUGCACAAAGUAGGCCCGGCAGUGGCUCGACUCGGGAUGGGCAGUGGACGAUGUUGUCAGCACGGGAUGCGGUGGGCCCAAUAGUCAGUGGUGUAGUGGA